Molecule: ribosomal RNA, 323 nt
Filed under: uncultured bacterium
Lineage: Bacteria
Description: bacterial SSU rRNA
Rfam family: Bacterial small subunit ribosomal RNA
Source: RNAcentral
GAUGAACGCUGGCGGCGUGCUUAAUACAUGCAAGUCGAGCGAAGCACUUUAACGGAAUUCUUCGGAAGGAAGGUAAAGUGACUGAGCGGCGGACGGGUGAGUAACGCGUGGGUAACCUGCCUUAUACAGGGGGAUAACAGUUAGAAAUGGCUGCUAAUACCGCAUAAGCGCACAGGACCGCAUGGUCUGGUGUGAAAACUCCGGUGGUAUAAGAUGGACCCGCGUCUGAUUAGCUGGUUGGUGGGGUAACGGCCCACCAAGGCGACGAUCAGUAGCCGGCCUGAGAGGGUGAACGGCCACAUUGGGACUGAGACACGGCCCAG